Punica granatum (pomegranate) is the source of this 867-nucleotide non-coding RNA. NCBI's taxonomy places the organism in Eukaryota, Viridiplantae, Streptophyta, Magnoliopsida, Myrtales, Lythraceae. The record is from RefSeq and is a predicted model, not a curated record.
ACAAUCAUUACUUUCUCUCAACUAUUCAUUAUUUUUUCAUACAUUUUAUCAUAAUUCAACAAUCAUUACAACUUAAUUAAAUAUAUAUGUAAAGUUAGAAUAGAGCUGAACUUAACUCAACUCUAAUCUCAAACAAGGCAUUAGUAUUCCGAUCACCCAUUGGAUCCAUUCGCUCCGUGACUUUUGAAACCAAAAUAUCUCCUCUUGUGCCAAAGUUUCCUCCAACUCAUCGGUGAGACGAGCUUCCAGUCGUCGAAGAAAUCAGAAAGGCCGUUCAUAACAGCGUCCGGAAAAAUGGCCAGGUUCGCUGGAAGAUUCAUACUAGACGCCCAUAUAGACUCAAGCAAUCGAGGGAAAUCUGAAAGGGAAUGCCAGGCAGCUAGAAAACGAAAAGGUCGCUGCACUCUACGAGUAUCGCCAAAGCCCAAAGUGUUCAGAAGUAGUGGAUGAUGGUCAGAUUUGAUUCGAGCCAACACCUUAAUUGCAGCCUCCGGGAAGGCCGUCCACUAAGCUGCAUUACAGCCGGCUCGAUCAAGGCGUUCGAAAACGCGUUCACGUCCAGUGAAUUGACGAUCCUGCCACGUGAAGCGUGGACCACAGCUGCCCAUGUCCAUCAAACCGCACGUCUCAAGAGCUGCCCGAAAACGGAGUGCACGUGUUGGAUUGAAGGGAGCUCCACCUUGUUUCUCCGUAGGAUCCACAAUUUCAUUAAAGUCUCCAAUGAUGAACCAAGGACCAACUAUCUGUGAGGCGAGUGAUUCAAGAAACCCCCAUAAUUCACGUCGACGAACCUCAUUAGGACUUUUCGUAUACCGCGGUCAGAAACCAACAAUUUUGUCCAAUCCCAACUUUCAAUUGAAUGGCCUG